Molecule: ribosomal RNA, 497 nt
Filed under: uncultured bacterium
Lineage: Bacteria
Description: partial 16S ribosomal RNA
Rfam family: Bacterial small subunit ribosomal RNA
Source: RNAcentral
GAUGAACGCUGGCGGCGUGCCUAAUACAUGCAAGUCGAGCGAACGGACGAGAAGCUUGCUUCUCUGAUGUUAGCGGCGGACGGGUGAGUAACACGUGGAUAACCUACCUAUAAGACUGGGAUAACUUCGGGAAACCGGAGCUAAUACCGGAUAAUAUUUUGAACCGCAUGGUUCAAAAGUGAAAGACGGUCUUGCUGUCACUUAUAGAUGGAUCCGCGCUGCAUUAGCUAGUUGGUAAGGUAACGGCUUACCAAGGCAACGAUGCAUAGCCGACCUGAGAGGGGGAUCGGCCACCCUGGAACUUGAACACGGUCCCGACUCCUACGGGAGGCAGCAGUCGGGAAACUUCCGCAAUGGGCGGAAGCCUUACGGAGCAACGGCGCGGGAGUUAUGAAAGUCUUCGGAUCGGAAAAACCUGUUAUUAGGGAAGAACAUAUGUGUAAGUAACUGUGCACAUCUUGACGGUACCUAAUCAGAAAGCCACGGCUAACUACGUG